This 509-nucleotide ribosomal RNA is filed under the name uncultured bacterium. RNAcentral describes it as "bacterial SSU rRNA". It matches the Rfam family "Bacterial small subunit ribosomal RNA", at positions 29 to 526 of the family's 1533-position model. The record is from RNAcentral.
AUUGAACGCUGGCGGCAGGCCUAACACAUGCAAGUCGAGCGGCAGCACAAGUGAGUUUACUCAGGAGGUGGCGAGCGGCGGACGGGUGAGUAAUGCCUAGGGAUCUGCCCAGGCGAGGGGGAUAACAGUUGGAAACGACUGCUAAUACCGCAUACGCCCUACGGAGGAAAGCGGGGGAACUGCGGGCCUCGCGUUAUGCGAGCGGCCGACGUCUGAUUAGCUAGUUGGUGGGGUAAAGGCUCACCAAGGCGACGAUCAGUAGCGGGUCUGAGAGGAUGAUCCGCCACACUGGGACUGAGACACGGCCCAGACUCCUACGGGAGGCAGCAGUGGGGAAUUUUGGACAAUGGGCGAAAGCCUGAUCCAGCCAUGCCGCGUAAGUGAAGAAGGCCUUCGGGUUGUAAAGCUCUUUUGUCCGGGAGGAAAUCCCGUAACCCAAUACGUUACGGGGAUGACAGUACUGGAAGAAUAAGCACCGGCUAACUACGUGCCAGCCGCCGCAGUAAAAC